GAUGAACGCUGGCGGCGUGCUUAACACAUGCAAGUCGAACGAAGCACUUUAUUUGAUUUCCUUCGGGACUGAUUAUUUUGUGACUGAGUGGCGGACGGGUGAGUAACGCGUGGGUAACCUGCCUUGUACAGGGGGAUAACAGUUGGAAACGGCUGCUAAUACCGCAUAAGCGCACGGCAUCGUAUGAUGCAGUGUGAAAAACUCCGGUGGUAUAAGAUGGACCCGCGUUGGAUUAGCUAGUUGGUGAGGUAACGGCCCACCAAGGCGACGAUCCAUAGCCGACCUGAGAGGGUGACCGGCCACAUUGGGACUGAGACACGGCCCAAACUCCUACGGGAGGCAGCAGUGGGGAAUAUUGCACAAUGGGCGAAAGCCUGAUGCAGCGACGCCGCGUGAGCGAAGAAGUAUUUCGGUAUGUAAAGCUCUAUCAGCAGGGAAGAUAAUGACGGUACCUGACUAAGAAGCACCGGCUAAAUACGUG
RNAcentral lists this ribosomal RNA (481 nucleotides) under uncultured bacterium. RNAcentral's name for it is "partial 16S ribosomal RNA". It matches the Rfam family "Bacterial small subunit ribosomal RNA", at positions 28 to 507 of the family's 1533-position model. The record is from RNAcentral.